RNAcentral lists this ribosomal RNA (494 nucleotides) under uncultured bacterium. Its description in RNAcentral is "partial 16S ribosomal RNA". It matches the Rfam family "Bacterial small subunit ribosomal RNA", at positions 28 to 507 of the family's 1533-position model. The record is from RNAcentral.
GACGAACGCUGGCGGCGUGCUUAACACAUGCAAGUCGAACGGAAAGGCCUGCUUUCCCUUGUGGAUUGCGGGUACUCGAGUGGCGAACGGGUGAGUAACACGUGAGUGAUCUGGCCCCAACUUGGGUAUAAGCCUGGGGAACUGGGUCUAAUUCCCGAUAGGACUGGAGGGUGGUGCCUGUGGUGGAAAACGAUGUUAGAGUGGAUGGGGAUGAGCUCGCGGCCUAUCAGCUGGUUGGUGGGGUAAUGGCCUACCAAGGGGGCGACGGGUAGCCGGGGAGAGAAUGUGGACGUGCACAUUGAGAAUGAGCAGCGGCCCAGAGUCCUACGGACGGCCGCAGCGGGGACGAGUGGACGAUGGGCGGAAUCCUGAUGCAGCGACGCAGGCUGGAGGAUGCCGGCCUUCGUGUGGUAAGCUCCUCUCGACCGCGAGGAAGCCACCUGGUUGGAAUGGUGGUGACGGUAGUGGUAGAAGAAGCACCGGCUAACUACGUG